This 253-nucleotide ribosomal RNA is filed under the name uncultured bacterium. Its description in RNAcentral is "partial 16S ribosomal RNA". It matches the Rfam family "Bacterial small subunit ribosomal RNA", at positions 524 to 776 of the family's 1533-position model. The record is from RNAcentral.
UACGUAGGGGGCUAGCGUUGUCCGGAAUCAUUGGGCGUAAAGAGCGCGUAGGCGGCCCUGUAAGUCCGCUGUGAAAGUCAAGGGCUCAACCCUUGGAUGCCGGUGGAUACUGCAGGGCUAGAGUCCGGAAGAGGAGAGUGGAAUUCCUGGUGUAGCGGUGAAAUGCGCAGAUAUCAGGAGGAACACCCGUGGCGAAAGCGGCUCUCUGGGACGGUACUGACGCUGAGACGCGAAAGCGUGGGGAGCAAACAGG